GACGAACGCUGGCGGCGUGCCUAAUACAUGCAAGUCGAACGCUGAAGCGAGGAGCUUGCUCUUCUUGGAUGAGUUGCGAACGGGUGAGUAACGCGUAGGUAACCUGCCUUGUAGCGGGGGAUAACUAUUGGAAACGAUAGCUCAUACCGCAUAACAAUGGAUGACACAUGUCAUUUAUUUGAAAGGGGCAAUUGCUCCACUACAAGAUGGACCUGCGUUGUAUUAGCUAGUAGGUGAGGUAAUGGCUCACCUAGGCGACGAUACAUAGCCGACCUGAGAGGGUGAACGGCCAAAAUGGGAAUGAGAAAACGGUCAGGCUCCUAAGGGGAGCAGCAGGAGGGAAACUUUGGAAAAGGGGGGAAAGCUUGACGAACAACGGCGCGUGGGGGGAGAAGAGUUUCGGGUCGUAAAAGUACGUUGUGAGGGAAGGAAGGGUAGGAGGGUGAAAAGUUCACGUUGUGACGUUAGCAUAACAGAAAGGGACGGCUAACUACGUG
RNAcentral lists this ribosomal RNA (497 nucleotides) under uncultured bacterium. Its description in RNAcentral is "partial 16S ribosomal RNA". It matches the Rfam family "Bacterial small subunit ribosomal RNA", at positions 28 to 507 of the family's 1533-position model. The record is from RNAcentral.